GGCUGCUGAGGCUGACUGGGGGAGGAGGAGCUGCAUUCAGUAGAGCACUGAGCAUGUGUGUGCGUAUGUGUGUGUAGAGUGAGAGAGAGUGAGAGAGAGAGAGAGAGAGAGAGAGAGAGAGAGAGAGAUUGGGAGUGAGGCAGUGAGGCAGUGUGUAUGCCUUGCAUAACAUACUCUGUACCUCUUGUAUGCAAGGGCUUCAUGUGAGACAGCCCAGACAAGGGGACUUCCUUUAUGCUUACUCCUCCAGGGCUACUGCAGAAGGGAGGAGAGGAGAAGAGGAGGCAAGAGGAGAGGGCAGGAGAGCAAGGGACAAACACAGGACAUGGAGAUAGGGAAGCGUGAAGGAGUUACGUUGGGGGCCCGUGCAAGCUAUCUGCAACAGGGCAGCAGUGUGUGAUGUCUGAUGUAGUCAGAGCUGGAGUGAUACUGCAGUGCUAAUCUCUCUGACUCUGUGACCAGCCUAUGUGUGUGUAUUUAUAUGCUUGCUAUGUGUGUGUUGUGUGUGUUAUGAUGUAUACACAGUUUUACAAAAUGAUUCAAUUUUAGACCAUAAAGUGCUCUGGCUGUGCGUAAAGAAAGACUUCAGUAGUUCUUGGCUCCUGCUAUGUUUAUAUCUUUCUAAUGUACAGUGAGAAGCACUUUGUUUAUUUUGACUUUUUUUUGCCAGGGGAGGCUGAAGGGAAAGUACGCCUUCAGGUUCAAAGUAAACGGUUAUGAUUUUGUUUCUGAUCAAG
Molecule: long non-coding RNA, 737 nt
Organism: Ictalurus punctatus (channel catfish)
Lineage: Eukaryota; Metazoa; Chordata; Actinopteri; Siluriformes; Ictaluridae
Source: Ensembl